Molecule: long non-coding RNA, 1630 nt
Filed under: Rhinopithecus bieti (black snub-nosed monkey)
Lineage: Eukaryota; Metazoa; Chordata; Mammalia; Primates; Cercopithecidae
Description: lncRNA (ENSRBIG00000045568.1)
Source: RNAcentral
CGGCAGAGCAGCGGGAGCUGAGCGCCGAGCUCGCGACCGUACAGGGAGCGCCGGUCUGCCCCGCCCUGGACCCAACCAAGCGUCCCGUGGAGGGGUGCGGCCACUUGGGGGCAGGAGAAAACGGAGUAAGCCACCCUUCUGGGCACCCAGGAAGCGAGGCGAGCCUCAGGUGGACGCGGUGGUGUAGACCACGACGAUCAGGGCCGUUCCCCGUGCUGUGGAGACGGAGGUACGAGGGGACCCCGGCGGCUCCCCACCUUCUGGCCGAAUGGCCCUCUCCGCCGCCGGCUCGGCUCCCUCGGGGCGCUCCCUCCGGAGCCGAGUCUGGCUGGCCCGGGCGGCUGUUUGGCCUGAGCGUCGUCUUACUAAAGCGGAACGCCGGAGGGGAGGCCACUCCGAGAGGAGGCGGUCCCCAGCGGAGGAGGCUUCGUGAAUCCCGCAGCCACUUGCCCGCCCGCCACUCGGGACGCCGCGCCUCGUGGGUUUCACGCUGGAUGGAGGGGCGCCUCCGAGGAGGCCCAGCCUCCCCCGCUAACUCUGCCUCUCCAGUUCCUCAGGUCGAGGGCUGCCCUGGGACUGAGCCUGUGCCUAGGUCAAGAGAGGUAGGAUUGCCAGCUGAAGGACAAGUCAGCGCUUGUACAGGACUGUCCACCACAACUGCAGAUGAAACUAGAGGCGGACUGCAGGCACGUGAUGCUCGCACCAGCGAUGACUCUAUAGCCACAUACAGCCGGAUGCGGAAGAGCUCAAUCCUCUAUCUGAACAUGACAUUCCGGCUUAAAAACUUUCAGUGCUUUCUAUGCCGACUGAGCAGGGUAGAGGAAUGGGCUUCAGACUCUUCAGGCCCUGAAACUUUGUGUGUAUGUGCAUAUUUUGGAUGAAAAGAUCCAUAAUGUUCAUCACAUUUUCGAAAGGGUACAUGUUAAGUGUUUAAGAACCACAAACACAAAACCCUAAUCCUUAACAUGACAGGUGAGGCCCUACACAGUCCAGACUAACCAACCUCUCUUGAGCCGCAUCUCCUGCCAGUCGGCUCUCCCCAUCUCCCCUACUCAGUGAACGUUAAAUUCCAGCCACAGAACUUCUCAUCCCAUCUCAAACAUGCUGUAAGCUCUUUAAUCUCGCUCUGAUUGAACACAUGCCUUUCUCUCUGCCAGGAAUGUUGCUCCUCCUUUGCCACUUCCUCUGUCCCUUCUCUGCCUGGUGAAUUUGCUUUUAUCCUUUAAGACUCAGCAAUAACAUCACCUCUGUGGCCCCCUCCCUCCUUCCCGGUGGUUCUCCUCAACCAUUUCCUGAGCAAUCCAUACACCAAUGUCUGUGGAAUUCACCCUUUGGUAUAGACAUUGUUUGCUCAUAUACUGCUCUAUUCCACUUGUUUGUGAAUUCUUGAAAGCGCAGACCAUGCCCCUCACCACUCCAAACCAUAACUUGGAAUAUAACAGACAAUAAUAAUAUUGAUGCAACCAGUGAGGAAUGAAUUACUCCAUUUAUUAGCUUGGCCAAUUGUCUCUUGGAUCUUACAGAGAACCUGACCCUGGGAGACUGGGAUAUUCAUAACUAGGUUUCCUGUUCAGGUUGUUAGAAUCUGUCCUGGUUUAAAUGUACAGUUCUGAUUCCUAUACAUCUUUUA